This 75-nucleotide transfer RNA is filed under the name Patescibacteria group bacterium. Its description in RNAcentral is "tRNA-Phe". It matches the Rfam family "tRNA". From Rfam's summary of the family: Transfer RNA (tRNA) molecules are approximately 80 nucleotides in length. Their secondary structure includes four short double-helical elements and three loops (D, anti-codon, and T loops). The record is from RNAcentral.
GCCGGGGUAGCUCAGUGGUAGAGCAGAGGCCUGAAAAGCCUUGUGUCGGCAGUUCAAUCCUGCCUCCCGGCACCA